Molecule: ribosomal RNA, 536 nt
Filed under: Acanthamoeba sp.
Lineage: Eukaryota; Discosea; Longamoebia; Acanthamoebidae
Description: partial 18S ribosomal RNA
Rfam family: Eukaryotic small subunit ribosomal RNA
Source: RNAcentral
GUGGUUUCCCCCCUUUUUUCCCCWGGKGAUUUCCCCCCCAGCACGUGGGGUGGCGCCCCCCAUUUSUUYCCCAGAAGACUACCCCCCCAGCAGCUUGUGAGAUGGCCCAGAUCGUUUACCGUGAAAAAAUUAGAGUGUUCAAAGCAGGCAGAUCCAAUUUUCUGCCACCGAAUACAUUAGCAUGGGAUAAUGGAAUAGGACCCUGUCCUCCUAUUUUCAGUUGGUUUUGGCAGCGCGAGGACUAGGGUAAUGAUUAAUAGGGAUAGUUGGGGGCAUUAAUAUUUAAUUGUCAGAGGUGAAAUUCUUGGAUUUAUGAAAGAUUAACUUCUGCGAAAGCAUCUGCCAAGGAUGUUUUCAUUAAUCAAGAACGAAAGUUAGGGGAUCGAAGACGAUCAGAUACCGUCGUAGUCUUAACCAUAAACGAUGCCGACCAGCGAUUAGGAGACGUUGAAUMCAAAACUCCACCAUCGGUUGCGGUCGUCCUUGGCGUCUCGGUUUCSSCCGGGGCGCGGGRCGGUUAGCCMYUUGACCCSCAC